Molecule: ribosomal RNA, 462 nt
Filed under: uncultured bacterium
Lineage: Bacteria
Description: partial 16S ribosomal RNA
Rfam family: Bacterial small subunit ribosomal RNA
Source: RNAcentral
GACGAACGCUGGCGGCGUGCUUAACACAUGCAAGUCGAACGGUGAAGCCCUUCGGGGUGGAUCAGUGGCGAACGGGUGAGUAACACGUGAGCAACCUGCCCCUGGCUCUGGGGCAACCACUGGAAACGGUGGCUAAUACCGGAUACGACCCGCCUCGGCAUCGAGUGUGGGUGGAAAGUUUUUCGGCUGGGGAUGGGCUCGCGGCCUAUCAGCUUGUUGGUGAGGUGAAGGCUCACCAAGGCGACGACGGGUAGCCGGCCUGAGAGGGCGACCGGCCACACUGGGACUGAGACACGGCCCAGACUCCUACGGGAGGCAGCAGUGGGGAAUAUUGCACAAUGGGCGAAAGCCUGAUGCAGCGACGCCGCGUGAGGGAUGACGGCCUUCGGGUUGUAAACCUCUUUCAGCUCCGAAGAAGCGAAAGUGACGGUAGGAGCAGAAGAAGCACCGGCUAACUACGUG